AUGCAAGUCGAACGAACUCUGGUAUUGAUUGGUGCUUGCAUCAUGAUUUACAUUUGAGUGAGUGGCGAACUGGUGAGUAACACGUGGGAAACCUGCCCAGAAGCGGGGGAUAACACCUGGAAACAGAUGCUAAUACCGCAUAACAACUUGGACCGCAUGGUCCGAGCUUGAAAGAUGGCUUCGGCUAUCACUUUUGGAUGGUCCCGCGGCGUAUUAGCUAGAUGGUGGGGUAACGGCUCACCAUGGCAAUGAUACGUAGCCGACCUGAGAGGGUAAUCGGCCACAUUGGGACUGAGACACGGCCCAAACUCCUACGGGAGGCAGCAGUAGGGAAUCUUCCACAAUGGACGAAAGUCUGAUGGAGCAACGCCGCGUGAGUGAAGAAGGGUUUCGGCUCGUAAAACUCUGUUGUUAAAGAAGAACAUAUCUGAGAGUAACUGUUCAGGUAUUGACGGUAUUUAACCAGAAAGCCACGGCUAACUACGUGCCAGCAGCCGCGGUAAUACGUAGGUGGCAAGCGUUGUCCGGAUUUAUUGGGCGUAAAGCGAGCGCAGGCGGUUUUUUAAGUCUGAUGUGAAAGCCUUCGGCUCAACCGAAGAAGUGCAUCGGAAACUGGGAAACUUGAGUGCAGAAGAGGACAGUGGAACUCCAUGUGUAGCGGUGAAAUGCGUAGAUAUAUGGAAGAACACCAGUGGCGAAGGCGGCUGUCUGGUCUGUAACUGACGCUGAGGCUCGAAAGUAUGGGUAGCAAACAGGAUUAGAUACCCUGGUAGUCCAUACCGUAAACGAUGAAUGCUAAGUGUUGGAGGGUUUCCGCCCUUCAGUGCUGCAGCUAACGCAUUAAGCAUUCCGCCUGGGGAGUACGGCCGCAAGGCUGAAACUCAAAGGAAUUGACGGGGGCCCGCACAAGCGGUGGAGCAUGUGGUUUAAUUCGAAGCUACGCGAAGAACCUUACCAGGUCUUGACAUACUAUGCAAAUCUAAGAGAUUAGACGUUCCCUUCGGGGACAUGGAUACAGGUGGUGCAUGGUUGUCGUCAGCUCGUGUCGUGAGAUGUUGGGUUAAGUCCCGCAACGAGCGCAACCCUUAUUAUCAGUUGCCAGCAUUAAGUUGGGCACUCUGGUGAGACUGCCGGUGACAAACCGGAGGAAGGUGGGGAUGACGUCAAAUCAUCAUGCCCCUUAUGACCUGGGCUACACACGUGCUACAAUGGAUGGUACAACGAGUUGCGAACUCGCGAGAGUAAGCUAAUCUCUUAAAGCCAUUCUCAGUUCGGAUUGUAGGCUGCAACUCGCCUACAUGAAGUCGGAAUCGCUAGUAAUCGCGGAUCAGCAUGCCGCGGUGAAUACGUUCCCGGGCCUUGUACACACCGCCCGUCACACCAUGAGAGUUUGUAACACCCAAAGUCGGUGGGGUAACCUUUUAGGAACCAGCC
Molecule: ribosomal RNA, 1434 nt
Filed under: Lactiplantibacillus plantarum
Lineage: Bacteria; Bacillati; Bacillota; Bacilli; Lactobacillales; Lactobacillaceae
Description: bacterial SSU rRNA
Rfam family: Bacterial small subunit ribosomal RNA
Source: RNAcentral